Molecule: ribosomal RNA, 468 nt
Filed under: uncultured bacterium
Lineage: Bacteria
Description: partial 16S ribosomal RNA
Rfam family: Bacterial small subunit ribosomal RNA
Source: RNAcentral
GACGAACGCUGGCGGCGUGCUUAACACAUGCAAGUCGAACGGAAAGGCCCUGCUUUUGUGGGGUGCUCGAGUGGCGAGCGGGUGAGUAACACGUGAGUAACCUGCCCUUGACUUUGGGAUAACUUCAGGAAACUGGGGCUAAUACCGGAUAGGAGCUCCUGCUGCAUGGUGGGGGUUGGAAAGUUUCGGCGGUUGGGGAUGGACUCGCGGCUUAUCAGCUUGUUGGUGGGGUAGUGGCUUACCAAGGCUUUGACGGGUAGCCGGCCUGAGAGGGUGACCGGCAACAUGGGGACUGAGAUACGGCCCAGAAUCCUACGGGAGGCAGCAGUGGGGAAUAUUGCACAAUGGGCGGAAGCCUGAUGAAGAAACGCCGCGUGCGGGAUGACGGCCUUCGGGUUGUAAACCGCUUUCGCCUGUGACGAAGCGUGAGUGACGGUAAUGGGUAAAGAAGCACCGGCUAACUACGUG